GGAGAGUUGGCAGAGUGGUCGAUUGCACUGGUCUUGAAAACCAGCGUACCGCAAGGUACCGAGAGUUCGAAUCUCUCACUCUCCG
RNAcentral lists this transfer RNA (85 nucleotides) under Flavobacteriales bacterium. RNAcentral describes it as "tRNA-Ser". It matches the Rfam family "tRNA". From Rfam's summary of the family: Transfer RNA (tRNA) molecules are approximately 80 nucleotides in length. Their secondary structure includes four short double-helical elements and three loops (D, anti-codon, and T loops). Further hydrogen bonds mediate the characteristic L-shaped molecular structure. tRNAs have two regions of fundamental functional importance: the anti-codon, which is responsible for specific mRNA codon recognition, and the 3' end, to which the tRNAs corresponding amino acid is attached (by aminoacyl-tRNA synthetases). tRNAs cope with the degeneracy of the genetic code in two manners: having more than one tRNA (with a specific anti-codon) for a particular amino acid; and 'wobble' base-pairing, i.e. permitting non-standard base-pairing at the 3rd anti-codon position. Lineage: Bacteria; Pseudomonadati; Bacteroidota; Flavobacteriia; Flavobacteriales. The record is from RNAcentral.